AUGAGAGAGAGAGAGAGAGAGAGACAGAGGGAGAUAAAGUGCUAUAAUAUUCACUUAAUGGUAGCAUAUGUAUUUUCACUCCAUCACUAUUUCUCUCUCUUUCUCUUUCUCUCU
Molecule: non-coding RNA, 114 nt
Filed under: uncultured Mallomonas
Lineage: Eukaryota; Synurophyceae; Synurales; Mallomonadaceae
Source: RNAcentral